This is a long non-coding RNA of Bos taurus (domestic cattle), 6581 nucleotides long. The record is from Ensembl. Lineage: Eukaryota; Metazoa; Chordata; Mammalia; Artiodactyla; Bovidae.
GUAGGUAACAGGAACCUUAAGGUAACAACUGUGUGUGUGUGUACAGUCGCUCAGUCACGUCCGACUCUGGGACCCUGUGGACUACAGGCUGCCAGGCUCCACUCUCCAUGGGAUUUCCCAGACAAGAAUACUAGAGUGGGUCGCUGUUUCCUUCUCCAGGAGAUCUGCCUGACCCAGGGAUCGAACCCGUGUCUUCCCCAUCUCCUGCAUUGGCCAGCAUAUUCUUUACUGCUGACCUACCAGGGAAACCUCUGAAACAGGAGUGCUCUGGAGGGGAUAUCCCAGCUGGAUACAGUCCUGCCUUUGUUGCAGUGGGAGGUGGUCUCACUGAAGGCACCAGCAUCCCAUCAGUAUUUGUGCUAGUUUUUAUUUCUACUGCUGAGGCUUUCCUAUCCACCUGGGAAAACAGACUUCUCCCUACUUGAAGCUCUUUCAGUCUUUGUUACUCUGUGUGUUUUCUUUGGAGCAGCAGGUUUGGGAAUUUAUCACCAGGAUUAUGUCACUCUGAGCAACAGAAUGAAAAGGGUUCUCAAAUAGAGAGUAGAGAGCCCUGCUCUUCCAGAUGACUUUUCAAGGGUGACAUGUGCAAACUGGAGGAAGUGGGCUAAAGUGACCUUCUAAUGACUGUUUUUGAGUGACUCUCAGGAAAUUUGCUUAAUGUCCUACACACUCAACUUCUGAGAGUAAUUGUUGGGCUAGACGCUUGGUGGAGUAAGACACUCGAUCCUCUGAAAACCUGAUGAAAUACCAACCCUCUCUCUCCCCCAACACACUGCCGUGUUUCAUUAUUUACCAAUUAUGAAAUAACUACAUGAUAAUUAACGUGAAAUUAUAUAGAUGAGCAGUUUGAGUAUUUUGAACCCAUAAUUAAGAUGCAAAUUAUCAACAAUCUGGAGCAUGCCACCAGGCAGUAACUCAUAUACAGUGGUCCCUGAAGACACAUCAUGUGUUUGGGCAUGAUUUGUUUGUGGCAUGGGUUUAUACCUAAUUUGGGAACCUGUUAGAGAGCUGAUGCUAUGUCUCAGAGUGCCAAUUUGGGUUCUGGAUUAGCUGUGCUCAGUGCGCUGAGAAGUGCCCACUUGCACAGCCUAGUAGCAUGACAAAUGGCCCCAUUCCUGUGAGAGAGGAGAAUGGGACAGUUGUGUUGUGGUCUUAGUUGGUGCCUCUGCCCCCUGCCCCUGCCACACUGGGAGCCUGGCUGCAAGCUUUCUGUGGGAGGUUUUUGUUAGAGGGUGUACUGCUGUGGCAAUAAUAACAACAACCUACGCUUUGGAGCAGGGACCAGACUGACGGUAAAACCAACUGUUCCCUUUCUCAAAUGCUCUGCUCCAGGCAAACUGGACACCUGCUUCCCCUGAAUGCUUACAAUUGCCCACACCUGAACCUGGUGUCCAUAAAUCAGACUCCACGGACCCACCAAUGAAAGCAGACUUGCAGACAUGAAACAAAUUGUUUCUCAGCCAGAAGACCCAGCACAAGUGUCACUAGACUUCAUUUCACAGGACAACUUGAGAAACUAUAUCCCUUCUUCAAAAUGACGGAGGCUUGGGUAAGCGAUCCAACAGGCAAAUAGCAAAGUAGGAAGGAAGGAGAUGCUUCUGUAACAGGUGUGGAGAGGAGGGAAGACAUUCUCUGGAGGAGAACAACACUGACUUAACCCAAGUAGGAAUAUAUGGGCUGCAAUAUUUCCUGUAUAUUUCUUGUUUUCCCUCUGGAGGGGUCCAUUCCGGCUUGUUUGUUGUUAAGCCCCUGGUCCCCACCGCGGUGCCCAGAGGUGGGGAAGGGUGAGGGGGACACUUUGCCCUAUACUCAACAGUGGAAGUAAAAGGUAAAAUCAUUCUCAGAUUUUCCUUCAAGCUACCUCAAAAUUAAGAGAGGUUCAAAAGGAUCACCUUGACAAAACAGGAGAAGCUACCUGUAAAAGAAUGAUUUUAGGUUAGUCCUUGGCGUGUGUUAUCUCCCAGGAAAGGGACAGUAAGAAAGGAAAAGUCUUCACUAGGACAAAGAUAGAAAGUAGUGAAAGUCCUUUUCCUGCUGAUUGUCCAAGCUGGGGAUGAAAGGUCUGGAGCUGGAGUCAAGGGUGAGCUCCAGCACUGACCAGUGCCUGCAACUGUCUCUAGUUUUUUGGAAUGAGAACAAGGCAGGAAUCCCCUUACACGUUCGAGAGCCUGGACAUCAGAGCCAGGCUCCAGCAUCCUGAAAGGGUGGACCAACGUGCCCACCCCUCUUGCUGGGUGGGCAGUGGCAGCUGCCCUCAGUCUCUACCAUUGCGAUGACAGCAUCUCUGACUGCUUUUGCUUUGGUGCCAUGGAUAGGAACUGUUCCUACUUUGUCCAAAUGAGUUAUAUGAUCUUCAGAACCUCAGGAGAAUUAUUAUCUAAAGCACCAGAGGAUAGCUAGGAUUUUGGCAGUCUGGGCUUUUGUGGGAAAGUAUUCUGGGCUUUUGUGGGAAAAUUCCUUCUUUAGAAUAGUUAGAAAGAAUAGCUAGCUUCCAUUCAUCCAAUGUGGAAACAGUUCUGAACUCCAAGCUGGAGCUAGGAUUCUGUGCCAGGUUAUUACUGUGACAAUUACUUAAUAUUCUCCAUGCUCAUGGUAUCGCUUCUUCCAGAAGAUCUUUAGGGAAAACUUAGUUCAGUUUCCAGGAGGUUUUUGCUGAGCUGAAGAUCACUGUGUGAAUAAUAAUGCAGGCAACAUAUUCACAUUUGGAGGGGGAACAAGGUUAAUGGUCAAACCUCGUGAGUAUCUCUGCUGAAUCCAUAAUGAAUGUUCUGAUUUCUAAAGGAAGCCAUAGCACUGAACUUCAUUUGAGGACUUUCUCCACCCAGUGUUUUUAAAGUUACUUCUAACCAUUAAUCCUAAGGAUGAUACAGCAUACAUAUAUGCCAUAUGUACUUGUGAAAACGGGCACAUAGGUAAUUCUCUGGAACAGAAACAAAUAAGCUGGAGGAUAACAGAUUCUUUGUCCUUUUUGUCUUAACCAUUUGCAUCAGAGAGCCUGGGUUGAACUCAGGGACGGUUGAGCACUGGAGUGGGAGAACCUUCUCCAGCAACUUUGUGAGGAUUUUGCCGUGUCUUGCUGGGCUGGUGAGAGGACAGCUUGGUCUGGAGGUUGGGGGAUGAAAUAUGUAACCUCAGAACAGCCUUUGUGUCCCAACCAUGCUGUAAACUGGCCACGAUUAUGAGCAGUCUUCCCCACUGCUUCUUUGGCCAGGAUCCCAGCUGGAGGAGCACGCUGGCUAGAUUUGGGGAUUGAAAGGGAUUUCCUGGUACACACUGGCCUGGUUGGUUUCUGUAAAGCUUUCCAUGACUGUGUAAUACUGGCAACAACCGUAAGCUGAUUUGGGGACUGGGGACAAGUCUGGCAGUAAAUCCAAGUGAGUCUUCAAAUUAACUCUCUCAAACCUGUCUCUGUAGUUUGAAGUAUCUGAGAAACUAUCUCCUCUUUAGAGAGACAGUUUUAAAUGUGCAGUAAUGAGUAGUGUUCUUCUCUUGUCCACCCAAGCUGAGUCCUCGCCUACCUCUCAAUCAAAAUAACUAGAUAGAACAGUUCAGAUGUGCCUGGUGGGAAAGCAAUUGGAGUGUUUGACUGUUGUCUUACAGAGCAAACAGGUGGCCCAUUUCAAAAUAGCCAUCAGGAAGCAUCAAAAGUUAGACGAGGUGAAACUACACGUCAUGUAUCACAGCCUCCUUAGUCUACACUAUACCAACAUCAUCUCAGGCCAUCAGUGAAUUCUGUUAGCCUCCAGCCAAAGGUAACUCCAGUGCUGCUGGGAACUCUCAGAACUCAGGGCCUUCCCAGUGGCCUCCCUGGAGAGCAUCUCCCUAGUAUGGAUUAUCCAGCAUGACUCAAACCUACCAUGUGAUUUCUGCAUCUCUCAGUUCUCUUUGGCUCACAGUCUUAUGGUAGAUUUACUAGAAGCAACAGGGAAAGAAGUUGGUUUCAUCCUAAUUCUGGUCUCUUGAGGAGUUCUUCUCUCCAAGACUCUUCAGAAACAUCUUAGGGACCACCCACCCUGCUCAGAAUUGUGCCUUGUACAACCAGACUGGUUCCCAGCAGUGUUUGCUGUGGCUUUGGCUAGCUCCCAGGGAAUUUCUGGAGCUCCAGGCUGGAGCUGUGGGGAGAGGAGCGGGGGUGAUACAGUGAGCUCAGAGGAUUUGGGAAAGACAUCUUUGAUAGAGGCGUUAAUGAAUUUCUAAAUGAGCUUCUGUGUGUUAACUUGAUAAGACUCUCCAGGGAGAAGGUCAUCCUUACCUUUGCAACUCUAAAUGUAAGUCAUGGGUUGCAAGAAAAAAUGGGAAAUGUCAAUUGCCAUGCCAAAAUGAAGGGAGAGGAUAUACGUAUUGAACCAGUUUUAAUGCUAAGUUUAUGAAAUGUAAGACUUUCAGGAGAACCUUCUCAGGGUACCUUUAUUAAGAUCGAUGAGCUAACUAUUUAGUCAGUGUUACGGGGAUGCACACUUUAAAGGGGAACCCAGAAUUUUUUUAAGGCCAAUGAAAGGUUUAGCCACUAUAGGUGAGUUUUGGAAUCAAACUGCCUGGGUAAACCCUAACUCUGCUACUUGUUAGAUGUGUGACUUCGGGCAGAUAACCUAAUCUCUUUAUGCCUCAUUUUUUCAUCUGUUAAGUGGAAAUAAGAACAGUACCUAUAUCACUGCAUUGUUAUGAGAUUAAGAGAGUUAAUACUGACCAAGGGCCUUGCAUGCAGUGACACAUAGUAAGUCUCCAAUAAAUAUUAGUUAUUAUUACUAGAUCAGGUUGCUGGAGGGAGGAAAGGAUCUCCUUUUACAGUUUUUGUAAAGUAGAGCAUUACAGUGUGACUCAGGAAACACAGGAAGACUCACCUUUGGGCAGGGGACAAUGUUACAAGUAAAACCAGGUAGGUCUGAUGUUCCGAACAGUCCAGAGUUACCCAUUAAGCUCAUUCUUUGGUUAAUCUUCUCUGCCUUUUCAACUUAUCAAAGACUCUUAUUUUUUAGAUUUCAUCUUUCGUUAACACUAGUAAGGAGAAUGUGGGUAAAGCUUGGCUGGUAUGGUCUUUUCUAACUCACUUGGUUUCAGUUAGUGGUGAAAAAAGGAGCAAGACUUGAGGUAAGUUAGGUCUGGAAUUUCUAGGCAAGACCAAGAGAAUAUAAUUUGAUGGGAGACAUAAAAACAUCAAAUGUAAGAAGUGUACCAAAACUAAAGUUGAUUUUACGCAAUAAUAUACUGUAGUGAGAACCACCCCAGUAGCCACGAGAAUUCUCUUAAGAAUUGCCUUUCAAGGGGAAGAUGGGUAACAUGAAAAUGAUAAGUUUUUGUGUGAAAAAAUGGGGAGGAAAAAUGGGAGACUGUUGAUAAUUUGGAUUUUUUUGUUAAGAAACAUGGAAAAGAACAUUUUUUCCAUAGGAUGGUUGGUAAAAGGCUAUCAUCAAGUAGGAGUCAAAAGAGUCAAAAUGUGUAUGGUAUCCCCCGGGUGAACCUCACAGAGAAAGAGGAGGAAGAAAAUGGCCCAGAGUAAAGUGUUUUUGUACUGGGCAGAAACACUGUGUUAACUUCUGGAGCAAACCAGCUUGUCUUUGGGACAGGAACAAGCCUCACCAUCCUCCCCCAAGUCAAGGACCCCAACCCCACUGUGUACCAGCUGAGAAGCCCCCAAUCCAGUGACACUUCUGUCUGCCUAUUCACCGAUUUUGAUUCAAAUCAAGUCAACAUGGAAAAAAUCAUGGGGUCCGAGGGGAGCACGGUGCACAAAACAAACAGCACCGUGCUCAACAUGGAGAUCCUGGGAUCCAAGAGCAACGGGAUAGUGACUUGGGGAAACACCAGCGAUGCUGGAUGCGAAUACACCUUCAACGAGACCAUUCCCUUCGCCUCCAGCUUGGAAAUCUCCUGUAAUGCCAAGCUGGUAGAGAAAAGCUUUGAAACAGAUAUAAACCUAAACUCCCAAAACCUGUCAGUGAUAGUGUUCCGCAUCCUCCUCCUGAAGGUGGUCGGGUUUAAUCUGCUCAUGACGCUGCGGCUCUGGUCCAGUUGAGGUCACCGACAACCUGAGAGCCCCGUGCUCCCUCGCCCCUUGCUCCUCGUCGCCCUUCCUCUCCCUCUUCAAGCAGAGAGGCGCACUCUCUGCCCCCAUGGAUGAGAAGGCUCCCUCCUCCUCUCUGGCCUGGCUGGCCAUAACACCAACUGGAUCCUCCAGAUACUGGUGAUCAAGAUGCUGACAAGCUGCCCAGCACGGCUGCCACCCACUCUCUUCCUCACUGCUGCUUGUCACUGCCUGGCAUUCUUGGCAAAGUCGGGGGGCUGCUGCAGCCUCUCCUGGCUGUGGGGACACUCCCUCCCCACCCCCACCCCCCAGAGACUGCCUCUGAUGUCCCACUGGAUGGUGGAUCCCCAGUGGGUUCUCCUGGGCUCUAGCUCCUGGAGAAUGUUGUGUGUUGUUUAUAUUUUUUUACAUAGUGUUCAUAAAAAAAUAUAUAUCACCCUUUUCCCCAACAUGUGGGGAAAAAUUAUCUUUUCACGAUCUAGGCCCUGCUCUUCUGUGUAUCCGAGCCACAUUGUAUAUUCUGCUGCCACGGCUUCAAUAAAAGCGAUUUGGAAGAGAC